Molecule: ribosomal RNA, 485 nt
Filed under: uncultured bacterium
Lineage: Bacteria
Description: partial 16S ribosomal RNA
Rfam family: Bacterial small subunit ribosomal RNA
Source: RNAcentral
AUUGAACGCUGGCGGCAUGCCUUAUACAUGCAAGUUGAACGGCAGCGGGCCGUUCGGGGUGCCGGCGAGUGGCGAACGGGUGAGUAAUUCAUCGGAACGUACCCGGGCGAGGGGGAUAACCGGCCGAAAGGCUGGCUAUUAUCGCAUGAACUCGGAAGAGCAAAGCGGGGGACCUUCGUGCAUCGCGCUCUCGUCAUCGCCGAUGUCUGAUUAGGCUAGUUGGUGGGGAAAUGGUCCACCAAGGCGACGCUCGGUCGCGGGUCUGAUAGGACGAUCCGCCACACGGGGACUGGGACACGGCCCAGACUCCGACGGGAGGCAGCAUAGGGGAAUCUUGGACAAGGGGCGAAAGCCGGAUCCAGAAAUGCCGGGUGGGGGAAGAAGGCCUUCGGGUGGUAAAGCCCGUUCGGCGAGGAAGAAAUCGGUCAGGCGAAUAGUCUGGCCGGAUGACGGUACCCGCAGAAGAAGCACCGGCUAACUACGUG